Molecule: ribosomal RNA, 550 nt
Filed under: uncultured bacterium
Lineage: Bacteria
Description: bacterial SSU rRNA
Rfam family: Bacterial small subunit ribosomal RNA
Source: RNAcentral
AAUAGAUACCCGGGUAGUCCACGCCGUAAACGAUGAGUGCUAAGUGUUAGGGGGUUUCCGCCCCUUAGUGCUGCAGCUAACGCAUUAAGCACUCCGCCUGGGGAGUACGGUCGCAAGACUGAAACUCAAAGGAAUUGACGGGGGCCCGCACAAGCGGUGGAGCAUGUGGUUUAAUUCGAAGCAACGCGAAGAACCUUACCAGGUCUUGACAUCCCAUUGACCACUAUGGAGACAUAGUUUUCCCUUCGGGGACAACGGUGACAGGUGGUGCAUGGUUGUCGUCAGCUCGUGUCGUGAGAUGUUGGGUUAAGUCCCGCAACGAGCGCAAUCCUUGUUCUUAGUUGCCAUCAUUUAGUUGGGCACUCUAAGGAGACUGCCGGUGACAAACCGGAGGAAGGUGGGGAUGACGUCAAAUCAUCAUGCCCCUUAUGACCUGGGCUACACACGUGCUACAAUGGACGGUACAAACGGUUGCCAACCCGCGAGGGGGAGCUAAUCCGAUAAAACCGUUCUCAGUUCGGAUUGUAGGCUGCAACUCGCCUACAUGAAC